Molecule: ribosomal RNA, 473 nt
Filed under: Veillonella parvula
Lineage: Bacteria; Bacillati; Bacillota; Negativicutes; Veillonellales; Veillonellaceae
Description: bacterial SSU rRNA
Rfam family: Bacterial small subunit ribosomal RNA
Source: RNAcentral
GACGAACGCUGGCGGCGUGCUUAACACAUGCAAGUCGAACGAAGAGCGAUGGAAGCUUGCUUCUAUCAAUCUUAGUGGCGAACGGGUGAGUAACGCGUAAUCAACCUGCCCUUCAGAGGGGGACAACAGUUGGAAACGACUGCUAAUACCGCAUACGAUCUAAUCUCGGCAUCGAGGAUAGAUGAAAGGUGGCCUCUACAUGUAAGCUAUCACUGAAGGAGGGGAUUGCGUCUGAUUAGCUAGUUGGAGGGGUAACGGCCCACCAAGGCGAUGAUCAGUAGCCGGUCUGAGAGGAUGAACGGCCACAUUGGGACUGAGACACGGCCCAGACUCCUACGGGAGGCAGCAGUGAGGAAUCUUCCGCAAUGGACGAAAGUCUGACGGAGCAACGCCGCGUGAGUGGUGACGGCCUUCGGGUUGUAAAGCUCUGUUAAUCGGGACGAAAGGCCUUCUUGCGAAUAGUGAGAAGGAUG